GCCGCCGGCCCGCUCGGCACCGGGGGCGGCCGUGGGGCUGCGGACGGCAGCGGGGCGGGACGGGAGCGGCGCCUCCGCCGAGCGGCUUAGCCACGGCAGCGCUUACCGCCGGGGGAACCGCGGGCCGCUGUGGGCGGGCUCCGACCUGCCGACGGCACACGGCCGGAGAGAGCGCUCGGGGCUCGCUUCAUGACUUGAGGCUCUUGGGGCCUCCUUGUGGGCCUUUCUACUCCUACCAAACGGGGUGUAAGAGAAUGAGUUCGUCAACACGUAUGUGAGUAGAAGAUACUUGGCUUUCUGUGGAGGUCGUGCAACUGGAGGUUUGGGGUGAUGGGAAAGACGAGUGACCAAGGACAGCACAACCGAGUCACCCCCUCCGUGCCCCCGCCGGCACUGGGGAGAGAGGAAGGAGAUGGAGGCAUUGGGUCUGUGGAUCUUACUCGACUGAGCUCCAGACUUUAUUUCACAAGGAAACCAUACCCACGGGAUUUUCUGUACAGAAAGAAUCAACUCAAAGCGCUUACAAAUUACUAAGUGUCCCACUGGCAAUAAAAUCUCACCCAUAGAGUUUAA
Parus major (Great Tit) is the source of this 573-nucleotide long non-coding RNA. RefSeq lists it as uncharacterized. The record is from RefSeq and is a predicted model, not a curated record. The transcript has 2 exons. NCBI's taxonomy places the organism in Eukaryota, Metazoa, Chordata, Aves, Passeriformes, Paridae.